AACACUGUUAACCUGCGGUACCUGCGGAGGGAUCAUUACCGAGUGGCACGAAUUCCGGUCGUUUGAGACUGGGAGGCUACCCGACCUUUUGUCAUAUUCUGUCGACCGGGGAAGCUUCGAAUUUGGGUUCGAGGAUGCCGGACGAGCCAAAACUUCGGCGGAAGAGGUAGGCAUGGACCUGCCCGCCGCCGGCCGCAGAACAGCACACAUUCUUGAAAGGCAAACUGAAGUCUAAGCGCC
Molecule: unclassified non-coding RNA, 240 nt
Filed under: soil metagenome
Description: partial contains 5.8S ribosomal RNA, internal transcribed spacer 2, and large subunit ribosomal RNA
Source: RNAcentral